CGUGGAUAAUCUGCCCGAGGAUUUGGGAUAACAUCUCGAAAGGGGUGCUAAUACCGAAUAAGCCCACGGGGUCUACGGAUCUUGCGGGAAAAGGGGGGGACUUUCGGGCCUCCUGUCUUCGGAUGAGUCCGCGUACCAUUAGCUAGUUGGUAGGGUAAUGGCCUACCAAGGCGACGAUGGUUAGCUGGUCUGAGAGGAUGAUCAGCCACACUGGAACUGAGACACGGUCCAGACUCCUACGGGAGGCAGCAGUGGGGAAUUUUGCGCAAUGGGGGAAACCCUGACGCAGCAACGCCGCGUGGGUGAUGAAGGCCUUCGGGUCGUAAAGCCCUGUCGGGAGGGAAGAAAUGAUUGAGAGCUAAUACCUCUUGGUCUUGACGGUACCUCCGAAGGAAGCACCGGCUAACUCCGUGCCAGCAGCCGCGGUAAUACGGAGGGUGCAAGCGUUGUUCGGAAUUAUUGGGCGUAAAGCGCGUGUAGGCGGUCUUUUAAGUCUGAUGUGAAAGCCCCGGGCUCAACCUGGGAAGUGCAUUGGAAACUGGGAGACUUGAGUACGGGAGAGGAGAGUGGAAUUCCUAGUGUAGGAGUGAAAUCCGUAGAUAUUAGGAGGAACACCGGUGGCGAAGGCGGCUCUCUGGACCGAUACUGACGC
Molecule: ribosomal RNA, 652 nt
Filed under: uncultured bacterium
Lineage: Bacteria
Description: bacterial SSU rRNA
Rfam family: Bacterial small subunit ribosomal RNA
Source: RNAcentral